UCCUGACCGGUGCUUGAAGCCCCAACCACCAUUUUGCCGGUCACUGGAACCUUACUCCAUGUUUAACAACCGGGGGUGGUCCUUUCUUUCCUCCUCCUCUCUUGUUAUCAAACCCAAACUCAAUGUCUCCUCCGUUUCGACCAGAUGGUUUGCUCAUAGGACCAGAAGGUUUGCUCAUUGGACCAGGACGCUUUAUAUCAAACCCAAACUCCAAAUCAUCACCUCUCUCUCUUGGCUCACGCUCCACAGGUCUGAUCUCACGGCUCUUCUUUGACGACGGCUUCUCAUGCUUUGAGGGUUUGUUUUUGUUUUUGUGAUCUUUGGAACCGCGGUUGCAUAGCCUUCCAAACACACAAGCCAGUGCUGCUAAGAUAAGGAUCGCAGCUAUAACUAUGAAAGCUGUACCGAAUGAGCCACUUGAACCAGAUGACGAAGGUGGCACAUAAGAGGAAGGUGUUGAAGUAGAAGAAGAUGGAUACACAACCAGAGGUUGCUGGAACUGUUGUUGUUGUUGCUGCUGCUGUUGUUGAUCUUCCAUUUUUUGUUGUUUUUGGGCUUGGUUUUGAUUGUGAGAUUUUGGGAGCUCUGUGAUGUUGAAGAGCACUUCAAUUUAUGUCAUUUCCAUCUGAAAUGACCAAUGUAUUAAUAGUGCUAACACUCUUCUCUAUCAUCAUUCUCCAUAAAUAAAGUUUAUUCAAGGCAUGGUGUUUUUUCUUGAAAUAAAGUUACAUAUUGCUUUAAUAAAAAAGUAAUGUGGGUUUGUUUUUUAUUGUUUGUCAUCAACAAUGUGAAUUUAUUUAAAGAGAUGCACUUUCGAACAUUUUCUGAUUGCUUUGUUAGAAGAGAAAGUGAGAAUUUGGUUAAGUUUUUUUGAGAUGAGACACACAACUCAUUGUUUCCAAUAAAGAUGAAUCUAAAGAUAUGAUGAGUGGGCAUGCUGCUUUACCAAUCAUCACCUCUUUCACUAUUUUUCAGUCUCAAAUUUUCAAUCCCAUAGUGCUUGUAUGUAUCUUGUGUAUUCUUUACUAAAAUAAAUUUUGAUUUUUAUAAAGCUGGCCUCAAUAUCAGGAUUGAAAUCAUCAGAUUUUUCAUUUUCAAAUAAAAGUGGGAAUAUGGAUCCACUAAUCUUGCAUAAAAUACUUGUACACCAUCAAGUCUACUUUAGUAUUAAGAGGUCACUUUUCUUGUGGAUUUCUAAUUAGCAUUUAUUUACUUUAGUUUUGUAGGUUUAGAGUGGGGUUCCACAAGAGAGGAUGUUAUUGGAAUGUAUUCAACAUAGGGAUUAGUGCAAAACACAUUUUGAGUUCUUUCACGCAAAUAUCUGUUUUCAUCUUUUCCUUUUCAUAUUAUUUUCAAACUUUUUGUCUCCUUGAAUGUCCUUUUCUUCCCAAGAUAAUGUUGAAAGUUGAAAUGUUCACAGUGACAUUUUCUUAUCAAUCACAAUGGCCUAAUGUGAUCAUCUUUAGAUUUUAAAUUUUUGAUUCUUUAUUUGCUUUUCUUUUUUUUACGAAGAAAGAAAAAUAUUCCUUGUGUGAUAACUCCUGAUAAGGCCUUCAUGUCUCGUAAUGGACCAAAUUCAGUACUCAUUAUAAUGGGUCACUAAUUGAUAAAUCCUUCUUCCUUCACUAAUAGAGACAUUCUUGAUAGUUUGUUAUUGAUUUUUUGUUAGAGCAUUUGUCUAUUUUUUGCUCUUGUUUCCCUUCUAUGUUUACAUUUUGUUUUGUAUAUUAAGCAUAUACAAAAGAAGCCGAUAUAAUGUUUCUGAAUCAUUAAUACUUUUUUGAGAAAAUCAAAGAAACAAUUUGGUCCAAGUUAAUGAAAUAAGAUAAGUUAUGUCCGAAAGUAACGAAAAACAGAGAAACUAAAGUAAUUUCAUUCACCAUAGAGCAAAGGAGCCAUCACUACGCAGUGAUGAUGUUUUCGCCAAAACGGCAUACAUCUUCAAUAGUUUGUUAUUGAAUUUAUUUCUAUUUUAUUUUCUUUACCAAUAAUGAAUUGUUUAUUGAAAUUUUAUGUGU
Molecule: long non-coding RNA, 2018 nt
Filed under: Brassica rapa (field mustard)
Lineage: Eukaryota; Viridiplantae; Streptophyta; Magnoliopsida; Brassicales; Brassicaceae
Description: long non-coding RNA (BRAP_LNC005512)
Source: RNAcentral